AAGCGGUGGUUUGUAAUUCCAUUUAUGGGGUGGAAAACUCCUCUUAUCA
RNAcentral lists this transfer RNA (49 nucleotides) under Phrynocephalus guttatus incerta. RNAcentral's name for it is "partial tRNA-Tyr". The record is from RNAcentral. Lineage: Eukaryota; Metazoa; Chordata; Lepidosauria; Squamata; Agamidae.